AUUAUCUAUUACUUGAUACCAGUCCCAUGAAAAGUUCCAAAUUUGGCAUUUUCAAAGAGGAAUGCCCUCCACCCUAUAAUCUACAUCAACUGUAGUUAUAACAGCGGUAGAUCAUAUAGUGAAAUAAACAGUGUCAUUUCUCUCAAGCUGCACGACAUUGGAGAUUAUGAGAAUUGUGGUGCCAGCUGUUGUAUGAAUGGGUUCUACUAUAGUCAAUACUAGUCCAACAUGUAGUAGCAAUGCUCAGAAGCUGUCCUUGUUGACAGAAAGGCAUAUCUAUCUACUGGUAAUCCAACUUUUGCCAUGCUUUUCCCUUGUGGAUGUUGCCUAUGAUGAUGUUUUAGUACUUAUGACAUGAAGUGUGAAUUAAGAAGUGCUAUGAUGAUCUCAGAGGUCGCAGCUAUAUGCCAGAGGGAAGCCAUGAGGAAUAGCCCAGUCCAGGCAGUGAUGCCUGCCCACCUGAGACUGAACUAAGGGCUUAUCAAACUCCCAGGGAAUACGAUAGUACAGCAGUAAUUGCCUGGUGGUGUCUGUGAAGGAUUGAGGGCCUGGGAAGACAGGAUAUUGUGCUGUGAUAAAAACGUAAUGAAAUCUACAGACAGGAGCAAGACGGACAAAAGGUUCCAAGCAAUUUUUCUCGGGACGGAAUACGCAAUGUAGUAAAGUGUAGUUACAAAAUAUGAUACAAAUUGACUUUUAUGUUAAACUCUUUUGUGUGCUGACAGUAAUUUCUCCAGCAUCUUUCCAAGAUUUUUGCUAAUUUAAUCUCUUUUCUAUUCUAUUAUUUACUUUACAUAUUGGGAUGUCAAAUUUUACUGAAUUGUAGGUAUCGAAAUUAGGUUUUUCUGACAUCCUACUUUAUUCUAUGUGGUGCACCCUAAAUUUUUUGGUGCACCCAAUUUUUUGCACAAGUUCA
Long non-coding RNA from Branchiostoma floridae (Florida lancelet), 916 nucleotides. RefSeq lists it as uncharacterized. The record is from RefSeq and is a predicted model, not a curated record. The transcript is spliced from 3 exons. NCBI's taxonomy places the organism in Eukaryota, Metazoa, Chordata, Leptocardii, Amphioxiformes, Branchiostomatidae.